RNAcentral lists this ribosomal RNA (497 nucleotides) under uncultured bacterium. Its description in RNAcentral is "partial 16S ribosomal RNA". It matches the Rfam family "Bacterial small subunit ribosomal RNA", at positions 28 to 507 of the family's 1533-position model. The record is from RNAcentral.
GAUGAACGCUGGCGGCGUGCCUAAUACAUGCAAGUCGAGCGAACAGAUGAGGAGCUUGCUCCUCUGACGUUAGCGGCGGACGGGUGAGUAACACGUGGAUAACCUACCUAUAAGACUGGGAUAACUUCGGGAAACCGGAGCUAAUACCAGAUAAUAUAUUGAACCGCAUGGUUCAAUAGUGAAAGACGGUUUUGCUGUCACUUAUAGAUGGAUCCGCGCCGCAUUAGCUAGUUGGUAAGGUAACGGCUUACCAAGGCAACGAUGCGUAGCCGACCUGAGAGGGUGAUCGGCCACACUGGAACUGAGACACGGUCCAGACUCCUACGGGAGGCAGCAAUAGGGAAUCUUCCGCAAUGGGCGAAAGCCCGACGGAGCAACGCCGCGUGAGUGAUGAAGGUCUUCGGAUCGUAAAACUCUGUUAUUAGGGAAGAACAAAUGUGUAAGUAACUAUGCACGUCUUGACGGUACCUAAUCAGAAAGCCACGGCUAACUACGUG